CCCCGUCCCGCGGUGGGGCGAGGGAAAUGUGGCGUACAGAAGACGCUCCCCGGUGCCGCUCCCGGGGGCCCAAGUCCUUCUGAUCGAGGCACAGCCCGUGGACGGUGUGAGGCCGGUAGCGGGCCCCGGUGCGCCGGGACCGGGUCUUCUCAGAGUCGGGUUGCUUGGGAAUGCAGCCCAAAGCGGGUGGUAAACUCCAUCUAAGGCUAAAUACUGGCACGAGACCGAUAGUCAACAAGUACCGUAAGGGAAAGUUGAAAAGAACUUUGAAGAGGGAGUUCAAGAGGGCGCAGUUCGGAAGAGC
Molecule: long non-coding RNA, 304 nt
Organism: Mauremys mutica (yellowpond turtle)
Lineage: Eukaryota; Metazoa; Chordata; Testudines; Geoemydidae
Exons: 3
Source: RefSeq, a predicted model, not a curated record